RNAcentral lists this ribosomal RNA (253 nucleotides) under uncultured bacterium. RNAcentral describes it as "partial 16S ribosomal RNA". It matches the Rfam family "Bacterial small subunit ribosomal RNA", at positions 524 to 776 of the family's 1533-position model. RNAcentral also lists the same sequence under 1 other name. The record is from RNAcentral.
GACGAAGGUGGCAAGCGUUGUUCGGAUUCACUGGGCAUAAAGGGCGCGUAGGCGGUUCCGAAAGUGGCAUGUGAAAUCCCCCGGCUCAACCGGGGAAGUGCGUGCCAAACUUCGGUGCUAGAGGGCGGUAGGGGGGACUGGAACUCUCGGUGGAGCGGUGAAAUGCGUAGAUAUCGAGAGGAACACCGGUGGCGAAGGCGAGUCCCUGGUCCGCUUCUGACGCUGAGGCGCGAAAGCGUGGGUAGCAAACAGG